GACGAACGCUGGCGGCGUGCCUAAUACAUGCAAGUCGAACGCAGUGGGGACGGGUGAGUAACACGUGGGUAACCUCCCAUCAGAGGGGAUAACACUUGGAAACAGGUGCUAAACCGAUACUGAUGGAUGAACCCGUGGGGGAUUAGCUAGUUGGUGGGGUAAAGGCUCACCAAGGCCACGAUCUCUAGCUGGUCUGAGAGGAUGAUCGGCCACACUGGGACUGAGACACGGCCCAGACUCCUACGGGAGGCAGCAGUGGGGAAUAUUGCGCAAUGGGCGCAAGCCUGAUCCAGCAAUGCCGCGUGAAUGAAGAAGGUCUUCGGAUUGUAAAGUUCUUUCAGUGGAGAAGCGUUACCCGCAGAAGAAGCACCGGCUAACUCCGUGCCAGCAGCCGCGGUAAUAC
RNAcentral lists this ribosomal RNA (403 nucleotides) under uncultured bacterium. RNAcentral's name for it is "partial 16S ribosomal RNA". It matches the Rfam family "Bacterial small subunit ribosomal RNA", at positions 28 to 526 of the family's 1533-position model. The record is from RNAcentral.